AUACGGAGGGUGCAAGCGUUAUUCUGAAUCACUGGGCGUAAAGGGUGCGUAGGCGGUUUGAUAAGUCUGAUGUGAAAUCCUAUGGCUCAACCAUAGAACUGCAUUGGAAACUGUCAGACUAGAAUACUGAAGGGGCAGAUGGAAUUAGUGGUGUAGGGGUAAAAUCCGUAGAUAUCACUAGGAAUACCGAAAGCGAAAGCGAUCUGCUGGGAAGUUAUUGACGCUGAGGCACGAAAGCGUGGGGAGCAAACGGGAUUAGAUACCCUAGUAGUCC
Molecule: ribosomal RNA, 274 nt
Filed under: uncultured bacterium
Lineage: Bacteria
Description: partial 16S ribosomal RNA
Rfam family: Bacterial small subunit ribosomal RNA
Source: RNAcentral